UCUGUUGUGAAGCUGGCCCCUGGGGCUGCAGGUGGGCUGGGGGGUGAUCUGCUUCUAAGCUCACCCGUGUGGUUGUCUGGCUGUCAGCUGGAAGCCUAGUUUCCUCACCGGGUGUUGGCUGGAGACCCAGUUCCUCACCACGUGGGUCUCUCUACAGACCGAGCGUCCUUGUGAUAUGGCAGCCAGCUUCCUCCAGAAUGAGUGAUCCAGGGAGCACCCCAGAUGGAAGCCGGAGCUUCUGCCCGAUUCUGUUGGUCACACAGACCAACCCUGGUUCCAAGGGUGCUACUAGCACUUUAAAGCCUGCUUAUGUGACCUCCGUUCUACCUCCUCUACAAUCCACCAUCUUCCUGGGCACGGUAGAGUGGAAGAAGUCCUGUGUUUAGGAGAGCUCUGCUAUGUUGUAUUAAUUCCUUAUCCUCGCACUGGAAGCUUGUAGGAGUUCAAAUUUUUUUUAACAGUCUGUCAAGGAAAAUAACCAGCUUGAAAUGUGUCAUGUCUAGAAUAGCCUUACCCUCUACAAAGGUGAUUUAAAGUGUUUAUAUUCAUAUAUUAAAUAA
Molecule: long non-coding RNA, 560 nt
Organism: Lemur catta (Ring-tailed lemur)
Lineage: Eukaryota; Metazoa; Chordata; Mammalia; Primates; Lemuridae
Exons: 3
Source: RefSeq, a predicted model, not a curated record